GCUGACUCACAAUGACCUCACCCACUUCAGCUCUCUCUGUCUCCCACGGUCACCAUCAGCAGGACUGAGUGAUGUAGGAACAGGGAGCCAACAGCAGGUUGUUAAACUGCAAUCAAAAGCACUUAGUAGGAAUGAAUCUGUCUCUAUUAUGAGAUUUGAACUCCUGACAUCUUUAUCCACUGGAACAUGAGUGCCCAGGACACAACAGAGAGGGGAUUUUGAGAUCGUUUUUCAAGCCCUGUGGCUGUGAGCCAGUUGCAGCAUGAGGAAAAGCCCUCCAACACCCCAAUGUACAGGAAAGAGAAGGUAAGGCAAUUCUCUCCAGGCAGCUUUCAGAUAUGGUGCAUUCAGUGAAGUGCCCCAGGCCAGCAAAA
RNAcentral lists this long non-coding RNA (374 nucleotides) under Phasianus colchicus (ring-necked pheasant). RNAcentral describes it as "lncRNA (ENSPCLG00000005225.1)". The record is from RNAcentral. Lineage: Eukaryota; Metazoa; Chordata; Aves; Galliformes; Phasianidae.